RNAcentral lists this ribosomal RNA (502 nucleotides) under uncultured bacterium. RNAcentral's name for it is "bacterial SSU rRNA". It matches the Rfam family "Bacterial small subunit ribosomal RNA", at positions 28 to 564 of the family's 1533-position model. The record is from RNAcentral.
AGCGAACGUUGGCGGCAGGCCUAACACAUGCAAGUCGCAGAACAACCCGGGCUUCGGUCCGGUGGAAACUGGCCCACGGGUGAGUAACGCGUGCGAACCUGCCUCAAGGUACGGAAUAAUCACGGGAAACUGUGACUAAUACCGUGUGUGCCCUCCGGGGGAAAGCUUCGGCGCCUUGAGAUGGUCCCGCGUCCCAUUAGCUUGUUGGUGAGGUAACGGCUCACCAAGGCUGCGAUCGGUAGCUGGUCUGAGAGGAUGAUCAGCCACACUGGGACUGAGACACGGCCCAGACUCCUACGGGAGGCAGCAGUGGGGAAUAUUGGACAAUGGGCGAAAGCCUGAUCCAGCCAUGCCGCGUGGGUGAAGAAGGCCCUAGGGUUGUAAAUCCCUUUCAGCGGGGAAGAUGAUGACGGUACCCGCAGAAGAAGCCCCGGCUAACUCCGUGCCAGCGGCCGCGGUAAUACGGAGGGGGCUAACGUUGCUCGGAAUUACUGGGCGUAAA